RNAcentral lists this ribosomal RNA (485 nucleotides) under uncultured bacterium. RNAcentral describes it as "bacterial SSU rRNA". It matches the Rfam family "Bacterial small subunit ribosomal RNA", at positions 31 to 507 of the family's 1533-position model. The record is from RNAcentral.
GAACGCUAGCGGCAGGCUUAACACAUGCAAGUCGAGGGGCAGCAUGAAGGUUAGCAAUAACCUUUGAUGGCGACCGGCGCAAGGGUGCGUAACGCGUGAGCAACUUGCCCGUUUCUGGGGGAUAACCGGUGGAAACGCCGACUAAUACCCCAUGGCAUUGAUUUCAGGCAUCUGUUAUCAAUUAAAGAAUUUCGGAUAAGGAUAGGCUCGCGUGACAUUAGCUAGACGGCGGGGUAACGGCCCACCGUGGCGACGAUGUCUAGGGGUUCUGAGAGGAAGGUCCCCCACACUGGAACUGAGACACGGUCCAGACUCCUACGGGAGGCAGCAGUGAGGAAUAUUGGUCAAUGGUCUGACGACUGAACCAGCCAUGCCGCGUGAAGGUCACGGCCCUAUGGGUCUUAAACUUCUUUUGCGAGGGAGCAAUAAGGCGCACGUGUGCGUCGAUGAGAGUACCUUGCGAAUAAGCAUCGGCUAACUCCGUG